ACAUGCAGUCGACGAUGAAGCCCAGCUUGCUGGGUGGAUUAGUGGCGAACGGGUGAGUAACACGUGAGUAACCUGCCCUUAACUCUGGGAUAAGCCUGGGAAACUAGGUCUAAUACCGGAUAGGAGCGCCUACCGCAUGGUGGGUGUUGGAAAGAUUUAUCGGUUUUGGAUGGACUCGCGGCCUAUCAGCUUGUUGGUGAGGUAAUGGCUCACCAAGGCGACGACGGGUAGCCGGCCUGAGAGGGUGACCGGCCACACUGGGACUGAGACACGGCCCAGACUCCUACGGGAGGCAGCAGUGGGGAAUAUUGCACAAUGGGCGAAAGCCUGAUGCAGCGACGCCGCGUGAGGGAUGACGGCCUUCGGGUUGUAAACCUCUUUCAGUAGGGAAGAAGCGAAAGUGACGGUACCUGCAGAAGAAGCACCGGCUAACUACGUGCCAGCAGCCGCGGUAAUACGUAGGGUGCGAGCGUUAUCCGGAAUUAUUGGGCGUAAAGAGCUCGUAGGCGGUUUGUCGCGUCUGUCGUGAAAGUCCGGGGCUUAACCCCGGAUCUGCGGUGGGUACGGGCAGACUAGAGUGCAGUAGGGGAGACUGGAAUUCCUGGUGUAGCGGUGGAAUGCGCAGAUAUCAGGAGGAACACCGAUGGCGAAGGCAGGUCUCUGGGCUGUAACUGACGCUGAGGAGCGAAA
Molecule: ribosomal RNA, 690 nt
Filed under: Micrococcus luteus
Lineage: Bacteria; Bacillati; Actinomycetota; Actinomycetes; Micrococcales; Micrococcaceae
Description: bacterial SSU rRNA
Rfam family: Bacterial small subunit ribosomal RNA
Source: RNAcentral